AGGCCUACUAUGUCUGACAUUCUGGAAGGAGGCCCAGUGGUCUGUAGCGUAACAAGCGCACCAGGUGAUUCUGAUGUGCUGCUCAAGUUUAAGAACCACUAACUUAAAGAACCAACACAAACUAUGGCUCCUGAUCUUCCCUCUCUACUUUCUCCAAAAUCUAUCCCACGUCUUCAUUUUUUAAUUCAGAAUGGGAGAAGAGGCAGAUGCAAAGUUAGAGGAAAAGGAGUAAGAGAUAAGCUCUUCUCUCUCCUACAUGUAUAUUCAGAGCCUGAAGCUGUUAUUAGGAAAGCACAGUCCUCUCCUGGAGUGACUGUCGCAGACUUCCUUUAUAUCACUGGUCAACUGUGGCUGCAGGAAGUCUGGGAAACCAGGAGGGCAGAGGCCUGUGGUUGACUUCAACAGAUCAUGAGUCUCUGUCUGGGACCAGGCGCACCAUUUUCAGAAUUAAAUUGAGAUUCUUUCAACAAAGAAGAGGAGGGUGUGUAUCAGUGACUCCAGAAGUGGUCGCUUCAAUCUGCAAAGACUGUCAAAGAGACUACCUGCACUCUUCCCCUGAUGUGGAGCCUUUAUGGGCUUUUAUCAUGGUCUUAUCAGACUCAUCACAUUCAGGUCCUUCCAGUUGUGCUGUCUGGGAUGCCACCUCUGCAAUGGCCUGAUGAGCAGUGCUAGGUCUGCGCCCAGGAUCUGAACUGGCGAAACCCUGGGCCACUGAAGUGGAGCACGCAAACCCAACCACUUGGCCACGGGGUCAGCCCCAAAAUACAUUGUUUUUAUGUAAGAAUUUCAGUUUAUUUCCUUUUAAAAUUAUGUCUAGUUAACAGACCUUGACUUUUACCUCAAAACGCUCAAAUUUUCAUUUGAAACUCAAGAUGAGCAAAACAAAAUCAAAUACCAACUAACUCUGGAACCAAUCAAAUGCCUAAAAUCUCAGAGGAAUUUUGCUAACUAUAAAUGAUAAAAGUAGUGGAAGAAAAAUAGUUUGUCGCCUGCUCGUGCUUGACCUCAUGAAAAGAGCAAACCACUCAUCUAUGAGGAUUACAGAAGAGAGAAUUUGGCCUUCUCCCACUUCCUGUCCACUAACUCAUGGGAACAGAUUUGUACCAACGAGAAAGCUGCGUAGUCCUCCCUCUCCCACAUGGGAAACAUUUCUACGUUGCCCUCCUUCUUUCCACUUUUAUGUCGCUCACUUUCAACAUUCCACUGCCUAAGAUGGCCAAACCUCUUGCCUGCAUCAUGGUAGAGACGGCAGCUCCCAUAAAGACUCCCUAAGGUCCAGCAGAUCUACAGGAGAGGAAAGCAGGCUAGAUAUCAGCACUGGGCUAAAGGAACAGCACCUCUCCUCCAGCUGUAAGUCUAAGAACAGGAUUUGGUCCACAUCCAAAUGGAAAUGGAGUAGCGACAUAGGCAAUCUAAAUUUUUUCCCAGGUGGCAAGUUCUAAGUAUGAUCAGAUAACUUCUCUUUUGAAGAAGAGUAAACAGGAAACAACGGCAAAAUUAACAAUAAUAAAAUGUGUGAUGUUUUGGAAGAAAGUCACACAGUAAAAGGAAUAACACAAUUCUAAAAAUUAUUAGUACAUCAGUAAUUAGAAGAAACUUUAAAAACUUGUACCUGUAAGAUAAGGAAGAUGACAUAUCUAUGAAGCUGGAACAAAAAGUAAUAGAAAAAGAAUUACUGAGAUAAAAUAUGAUAGGAGGAAUUUUUUAAAAAUCCACAAAAUAAGAUGCAAAGGCAAUAAAACAGAUAAAAAGGGAAUACAAUGAGAAAAGUAAUGAGAAAAAAUCUGCAAGGAAUUGAAAACACGAUGAUGAAAUUGAAAUCUUCAUUGGCAGCUGUAAGCAACAGAAUUGAUCCUACGAAAAAAUUUAUCAAGGAUGGAAAGGAGAAAAUAAUGAGAAAGACAAAUUUUCCUUUGGUGGAUAGAGAUCAAAACUAAGAAAAAUACAUUUUCUGAAAGAAGAAAUCUGAAGAUUUGUAACGGAAGAAAUAACCAAGUUAUAGUUGGAAAAGUCCUAAUAUGAACCACAAAAAGACAAAACCACAAUCACUCAAAUACUUUUAAAAACUUUUCUCUGGUUUCUAUGUAAAAUCAAUGGAAAAAACUUAUACAUCUCCCAGCUUUGACUCAAAUGUUCUGUUCUCUAAGACAGGAAAAAACAGGUUAAUUAAAAAGUUGUAAGAGCGGCGUCCUCUCUGUUUGGGAGUAAAAUGGGCACUCAUGUGUAUGUGUGUGUGCAUGCGCACAGUAGGGAGCAUGAUUGGAAGAGUAGUCAGAAUUUCAGAAGAAUGCAGGUGACAUCAAAGUCCAUCACCAGAACUCCAAUGCAGGAGUCUUAGAUCAAUACUGGAGAUGAAAAGAGUAAUUUAAGCUGAUACAUUAGAAAAGUAAGCCCAUUAUGUGACAUUCAUGUGCUUUGUUCUUUUCACCUGCUGUGUUUCUUCCAUGUUUUUAGGCUACCUCUGAGAGGUUUCUUAUUAACCACUUCGCUCUAUCGUAUGACCCCCACGCACCUGUCUUUGUGAGAUUAAACUAGUGAUUGCUGCCUCUCUCCCACAUCAGCCAUUUGUAGCCCGGUGGGGGAUAGGAGGUUGCUCCAUGGUGGAUAUUGACUGACAGUUGCAGUCCUCCCAUAUGAAAUACACAGAGAAGGAAGCAAAGGGAAAAGCAGAAGCUAAAAGACAAAUAGAGAGAAUGCAGUCAGAAGAAAGCACUCAUCAACAGAGGGCACAAAGUAGCAGAAACCAUGAGAGAGAGAGAAGCAGCAGUAGAAUUGGUUGGUAAUACUAGAGUAGUCAUCUUAGGCCUGAAGGGAAGAGAGGGAAUGGCUGUCAGAACCCAGAGUAGCUCUCUGGAGAGGGGCCGCUGUCCAGAGCUGUGAUCUGCAGUGGGGGAUACAGCUAAUCAAGAGCAGACAGCAGAGAGAGAGGGAGCCUGGGGAAUACAUCCAUGGAGUCAUUCCCUCCUGCUCUGCAGUCUUCUUCUGGUGCACCCUCAGGUAGAAUGCAGCCUAAAGCCAGAGGGCAGGAGAACCAUUGAUAUAGUUUGUAUAAAUUAAGUUAGGUAGUCCCCUAGGGCCCAGGGCAGGAGGAAUUACACAAACCGAAUUACAACUCCAUACAACAUAAGCAAUGAAAAAAAAGGACUUUUAUAAUGAGGAGAAAAUAUUACAAAUAAAUUUUGAGGGAGGUAAAACAUGUUACCUACAAAGGACUGGAGGAUAGUUUCCAAUGUCCCUUAGAAACAUCUUUUUCAAGAAAUUCUUAACUUGAACAAUGCAUAGGAUUCAGGAAGCUCUUGAAUUAUAAAAUACUAUGUAAAAUUUUGCUAGUAUUUUGAAUAGAAAAAUGCUUGUUUUCUAUGUAGAGGCCCACACUUUUCAUCAAAUUAUUAAAGACGCUUGAAACCAAAAGAGGUUCAGAAUGACAGAUCAGCACAAAUUCAAGAUGGAAAGAUUACGAGCAAAGAAUUUUAUGUUAUUGAGGAUUCCUUUCAUGUAAGCUAGAAAUAGGAGGCAAUCCUAGACAUAAAAUAUUUCAGAAAUAUGUGCUUUCAGUGACCUUGGAAAAACUUGCUUCGGCCAAUCAAAACACAAACCAAGCGCAAGAAUAGGAACACAGUGAGAUAAAGGCAGACAGAGGGUAUUGAAACUGAUUAAAAAUAAGAUUAUCGUUGUAAUUAUGGUUACAAAAAUGAGAUAACUAAAAAGUAAAUAUAUAAUUUAACUUAAUUUAAUA
Molecule: long non-coding RNA, 3736 nt
Organism: Equus caballus (horse)
Lineage: Eukaryota; Metazoa; Chordata; Mammalia; Perissodactyla; Equidae
Source: Ensembl